GGCCCGCGCCCGCCGGGUCCCCGCUGCGGCCGGAGCGGCCUGGCUGUGGGAUCCGUGCGCAGCGAUGGCGGGGCAAUCCCUGCGGCGCUCGGCCUGGGUACCACUGCUCUUGAGGCUGCUGCUGGCGGGGAUCGCUGCCUGCGAAGCCAGUCCGGCGGACGACGGCGCGGGCCCGGGGGGCCGGGGACCCCGGGGACGCGCGCGAGGGGACGCGGGCGCCGACGAGGCAGUGCCGCGCCACGACUCCUCCUACGGCACCUUCGCCGGCGAGUUCUAUGACCUGCGCUACCUGUCAGAGGAGGGAUACCCUUUUCCCACUGCUCCUCCUGUGGACCCAUUUGCCAAAAUCAAGGUGGAAGACUGCGGAAGGACUAAGGGAUGCUUCA
RNAcentral lists this long non-coding RNA (386 nucleotides) under Rattus norvegicus (Norway rat). Its description in RNAcentral is "long non-coding RNA NONRATT023251". Lineage: Eukaryota; Metazoa; Chordata; Mammalia; Rodentia; Muridae. The record is from RNAcentral.